This is a non-coding RNA of Trichomalopsis sarcophagae, 46 nucleotides long. The record is from Rfam. Lineage: Eukaryota; Metazoa; Arthropoda; Insecta; Hymenoptera; Pteromalidae.
UAAUCAGCUCUUUUUAGAGCUACCACAUAUUUCAACGUCAAAAUAA